RNAcentral lists this unclassified non-coding RNA (22 nucleotides) under Mus musculus (house mouse). RNAcentral describes it as "oocyte_clustered_small_RNA3077". The record is from RNAcentral. Lineage: Eukaryota; Metazoa; Chordata; Mammalia; Rodentia; Muridae.
UUACUCCAGAAUGGUCUACAUA